Molecule: ribosomal RNA, 235 nt
Filed under: uncultured bacterium
Lineage: Bacteria
Description: partial 16S ribosomal RNA
Rfam family: Bacterial small subunit ribosomal RNA
Source: RNAcentral
UACGUAGGGCGCAAGCGUUAUCCGGAAUUAUUGGGCGUAAAGAGCUCGUAGGCGGUUUGUCGCGUCUGCCGUGAAAGUCCGGGGCUCAACUCCGGAUCUGCGGUGGGUACGGGCAGACUAGAGUGAUGUAGGGGAGACUGGAAUUCCUGGUGUAGCGGUGAAAUGCGCAGAUAUCAGGAGGAACACCGGUGGCGAAGGCGGGUCUCUGGGCCGAUACUGACGCUGAGGAGCGAAA